GUGUCAGCAGCCGCGGUAAUACGGAGGAGGCAAGCGCUAUCCGGAAUUAUUGGGCGUAAAGCGUCCGUAGGUGGUUGUUCAAGUCUUCUGUCAAAGCGCGGAGCUUAACUCCGUAAAGGCAGAGGAAACUGAGCGGCUAGAGUGCGAUAGGGGCAGAGGGAAUUCCCAGUGUAGCGGUGAAAUGCGUAGAUAUUGGGAAGAACACCGGUGGCGAAAGCGCUCUGCUAGGCCGAAACUGACACUGAGGGACGAAAGCUAGGGGAGCGAAAGGGAUUAGACACCCCUGUAGUCCUAGCUGUAAACGAUGGAGACUAGGUGUGGCCUGUAUCGACCCGGGCCGUGCCGGAGCUAACGCGUUAAGUCUCCCGCCUGGGGAGUACGCACGCAAGUGUGAAACUCAAAGGAAUUGGCGGGG
RNAcentral lists this ribosomal RNA (415 nucleotides) under uncultured prokaryote. RNAcentral describes it as "bacterial SSU rRNA". It matches the Rfam family "Bacterial small subunit ribosomal RNA", at positions 505 to 918 of the family's 1533-position model. The record is from RNAcentral.